CGGGCCAAUAAGCAGCGGCGAGGGGCGGUCAGUGAGCGGGACCUGGUGAUCAGGCAGCCGUACGGUGAAUGAGCUCAGGUGGAAGUUCAGAGGUUGGAGCAUGGGACAGAAGGAUCCAAGGCGCGGGGGAGAGGUCAAGUCAAGUCAAGUCCAGUCAAGCGUGUUGUCGUGUCAUGUGUACGCAGCGAGGUACAGCAACAAGGAAAAACCUAGCAGGCUCAGGUGAUUGCGAAAGACAUCUCCUUUUCAAAGGGUUACCCCAAAAGUCCUUGAUACUUCAGUUCUGUUGGAGCCAGAAGUUUGGCAACAUUUGCAGGCUGCCCAGCACAAUCCUCGCUGAUUGAUGCAAAUGAUGCACUUCACUGUAUAUUUGUGACAAAUAAAGUUACUCUCAUUGUAAUCUUAUCUCAUCGUUAAAACACCUGGUUUACUGAAAAAAAUCUGAGCGUAAAAUCUAUGGGCAAUAAAUUGAAGUUGCUGGAAGUCUGAAAUGAAAACCAGAUGCUGGCAUACACAUCAGGUUGGGCAGUGCCAGAUGUAAGCUCAGGGUUCAGUUCCCAUUGCUGUUUGUAAGAAGGACCCCUCUGGAAUGGAGUGUUGAAUAUAAUCAUGGAAUGAUUGGGAUAUCCGUCUUCAUCCGUCACUGCACCACACCUCCCCAGCCAAUCCCGUUGUUACUCUCCAAAUUAGUCCUACCCUCCAUCUCGACUGAAUUAUAAUCACCUGAAGAGGAUUAGUAUUGUGGAUGCACCAAUGUCAAUAGAUUCAUUGAUGAAGGAAUCAUUAAAUCAAGGCUCAGGUGAUUAUUAAAGAUGACUCCUUUCCAAGGAUGUGCUCCAGAUUUCCUUGAUAUUUUCUAAUCUCUCUAAACCCCAUUCCCCCACUUACUCCCGUAACUUUCGACACCCUAAUUGAUCAAGAACCCAUUAACCUCCCCUAAUUGAAUUAGAUUAUCUUAUCUCUAUGGAAAGUUGCUGUCAAAUGUACCUUCAAAAUAAUCGUUAUCCUUGAAGUAUCAACUCAUUAGAUUCUUCGGGACAUGUCCCAAGUUACUUGAAAAACUUUAAAAAAAUG
Molecule: long non-coding RNA, 1074 nt
Organism: Mobula hypostoma (lesser devil ray)
Lineage: Eukaryota; Metazoa; Chordata; Chondrichthyes; Myliobatiformes; Myliobatidae
Exons: 3
Source: RefSeq, a predicted model, not a curated record